Molecule: unclassified non-coding RNA, 414 nt
Filed under: Hevea brasiliensis (rubber tree)
Lineage: Eukaryota; Viridiplantae; Streptophyta; Magnoliopsida; Malpighiales; Euphorbiaceae
Source: RNAcentral
UGCAAAAUCAUAAAUGUCAGAUCUGGAGCUGAGCUUCCUGAAAAGUGCCGAGAGUUGGCAUUGCAUUUUGAGAAUCAAGGAACUCCUAUCAUGAUUGGUGGUGGUGUUCUUGCCUACACUCUCCUGGGUGUGGAUUAUAACGAUGCAAGUGGAGAUUGUGCUUUCCUUAUACUGGAUCCUCAUUAUACCGGCAGUGAUGAUAUCAAGAAAAUAGUGAAUGGUGGAUGGUGUGGGUGGAAGAAAGCUGUUGAUAGCAAGGGAAAACACUUCUUCUUGCAUGAUAAGUUUUAUAACCUUCUGCUCCCUCAACGGCCUAAUAUGGUCUAGUUAAUCUUAACAUACAAAAAGUCCAUGUUCAGAUAGACAACAAACAGAGCCAAUCUCUCUGUUCAAGUGUGUUGGGGAUUGGCUGGA